AUUGAACGCUGGCGGCAUGCCUUACACAUGCAAGUCGAACGGUAACAGGUCUUCGGAUGCUGACGAGUGGCGAACGGGUGAGUAAUACAUCGGAACGUGCCCAGACGUGGGGGAUAACGAGGCGAAAGCUUUGCUGAUACCGCAUACGAUCUAAGGAUGAAAGCAGGGGACCGCAAGGCCUUGUGCGUUUGGAGCGGCCGAUGGCAGAUUAGGUAGUUGGUGGGAUAAAAGCUUACCAAGCCGACGAUCUGUAGCUGGUCUGAGAGGACGACCAGCCACACUGGGACUGAGACAUGGCCCAGACUCCUACGGGAGGCAGCAGUGGGGAAUGUUGGACAAUGGGCGAAAGCCUGAUCCAGCAAUGCCGCGUGCAGGAUGAAGGCCUUCGGGUUGUAAACUGCUUUUGUACGGAACGAAAAGGCUCUGGCUAAUACCUGGGGCACAUGACGGUACCGUAAGAAUAAGCACCGGCUAACUACGUG
Molecule: ribosomal RNA, 482 nt
Filed under: uncultured bacterium
Lineage: Bacteria
Description: partial 16S ribosomal RNA
Rfam family: Bacterial small subunit ribosomal RNA
Source: RNAcentral